GUGGGGGAUAUUGCACAAUGGGGGAAACCCUGAUGCAGCGACGCCGCGUGAAGGAAGACGUACUUCGGUAUGUAAACUUCUAUCAGCAGGGAAGAAGAUGACGGUACCUGACUAAGAAGCCCCGGCUAACUACGUGCCAGCAGCCGCGGUAAUACGUAGGGGGCAAGCGUUAUCCGGAUUUACUGGGUGUAAAGGGAGCGUAGACGGUGAAGCAAGUCUGAUGUGAAAACCCGGGGCUCAACUCCGGGAUUGCAUUGGAAACUGUUUUACUUGAGUGCUGGAGGGGCAAGCGGAAUUCCUGGUGUAGCGGUGAAAUGCGUAGAUAUCAGGAAGAACACCGGUGGCGAAGGCGGCUUGCUGGACAGUAACUGACGUUGAGGCUCGAAAGCGUGGGGAGCAAACAGGAUUAGAAACCCGGGUAGUCC
This 425-nucleotide ribosomal RNA is filed under the name uncultured bacterium. RNAcentral describes it as "partial 16S ribosomal RNA". It matches the Rfam family "Bacterial small subunit ribosomal RNA", at positions 354 to 796 of the family's 1533-position model. The record is from RNAcentral.